Molecule: ribosomal RNA, 429 nt
Filed under: Chloroflexota bacterium
Lineage: Bacteria; Bacillati; Chloroflexota
Description: Chloroflexi bacterium partial 16S ribosomal RNA
Rfam family: Bacterial small subunit ribosomal RNA
Source: RNAcentral
UGGGGAAUAUUGCACAAUGGGCGCAAGCCUGAUGCAGCCAUGCCGCGUGUGUGAAGAAGGCAUUCGGGUUGUAAAGCACUUUCAGCGGGGAGGAAGGCGAUAAGGUUAAUAACCUCAUCGAUUGACGUUACCCGCAGAAGAAGCACCGGCUAACUCCGUGCCAGCAGCCGCGGUAAUACGGAGGGUGCAAGCGUUAAUCGGAAUUACUGGGCGUAAAGCGCACGCAGGCGGUCUGUCAAGUCGGAUGUGAAAUCCCCGGGCUCAACCUGGGAACUGCAUUCGAAACUGGCAGGCUAGAGUCUUGUAGAGGGGGGUAGAAUUCCAGGUGUAGCGGUGAAAUGCGUAGAGAUCUGGAGGAAUACCGGUGGCGAAGGCGGCCCCCUGGACAAAGACUGACGCUCAGGUGCGAAAGCGUGGGGAGCAAACAGG